AUUCCCAACUGUUUGAUAUUUGCAGGAUAUAGCAGUCGUACCUCUCUUAGUCAUACUUCUGGUGCUGGAAAGCCAGGUACAUGAAACAAUCAACUAGUCUCUCAAGCUUCACUUGAAGUUAUUAGUCAAUUAUUUUUUAGUAUUCAAUCUUGUAAAUGUCAUUAGUUCUGAUUGUUGAGCACCAUUCUGAGGGUGGAAAAUCGUCUUUGAUUUCAUCAAACUCUUGUUGAAGUAGUUUGCCUUUCAGAAGGCAAUGGUUUUAUUGAAAUAUGGUGUUACUGCGGGUACGUUUUUGCAUGUUAUGAUAAGAAAGGAAUACUAAACUUUUUCAAGGAAAGCUAGGAGAAGAGUUGACAUCUCUAAUGAUAGAGUAACAUUGUGAAUUUCUUUGCAGCAGUUGCUGUAGAGUGCAGAGGAAGAAUUGAUGUUUUUUUAUUUUAUUUUGGUCAAAAUUGAUUAACUACACUAUAUAUUUCGUGUCUAUGCCUUCAAAUUCCUUAAAAGUUGCAUGAAGACAUUAUUGUCUCUAUCGCUUUUCUGCAGAACAUAGCGGAGGACAGUAUAUGGCCAAUGCUUUUGAAGGAGGCCGGGUUUAAAAGCUCUAGGUGGGCUGGGGCUUCUUUCUCUUGGAGGAAAAUUAGUUCUUAGGCGAAUUUUUGAGUUUGUGGCAGAAGCAAGGAGCUCAGAGGUAUUUGUUGCCCUUUGCUUGCUGACGGUGGUGGGGACUUCACUUCUCACCCAGAAGUUGGGGUUCAGUGAUACAGUUUAUACGCAGAUACUGUAAGGUGUUAUGUGGUGCAGUAUUCUUUUGUUACAACAUUAUUUGAUGUUUCAAUUUCAGGCAAAUUGUUCAGAAACAAGUUUUUGAAAUUGAUUGUUGCAUGUUUUCGAGUUCUCUGUUUUCAUGAUUUCAUUGACAGAAUUGUUUAUCUGUAAACGAGGAGGGGAGUUUGGCUUUGUAGUUUUUUCUCUGGCAAACAUGUCGGUCCUACUCAUAACUCAUUUUUUUUACACCAAAUGCAAAAGUAUGGUGUGACCAAGUAUUUGUGGUUUUUUAUUUGUCGUAUUAAUAUGCAAAUUUGUCGAAAACAGGCUUGGUGUGCUACCACUUGAGCUUAACAAGUUGCUCAUAAUUGUUGUUGUCCUGUCAUGGCAUUAACCCCAUUGCUUAACAAAGCUGGAAGAAGAGCUGCUGCAUUUAUUGAUGACAAUUUUGAAGCAGAGGAUGAAGCGCCUGAUGUGGUGAAUUUCAAUUCAAGUGACACUCUAUAUGCAUGGAAUGCAUGGCGUCAAGUGCAUUGGUACGACGUGCGCGUUGAAGUGGUCGACUAC
Rosa rugosa (rugosa rose) is the source of this 1332-nucleotide long non-coding RNA. RefSeq lists it as uncharacterized. Lineage: Eukaryota; Viridiplantae; Streptophyta; Magnoliopsida; Rosales; Rosaceae. The transcript is spliced from 3 exons. The record is from RefSeq and is a predicted model, not a curated record.